Molecule: long non-coding RNA, 941 nt
Filed under: Vigna radiata
Lineage: Eukaryota; Viridiplantae; Streptophyta; Magnoliopsida; Fabales; Fabaceae
Description: long non-coding RNA (VRAD_LNC002311)
Source: RNAcentral
GUUGUAUAUUAUAAAUGAAAGAGGGAAGGAAAAUUGGUUGAUUAGUAUCGAUGUGGUACUUGAGGAUGGAAAUUAGUGGGAGUAGAAUAGAAAGUGAGGAAGGAACAGAGACAGAGACAUAAAUGAAUUGUUCUCCAUUUGGUGGGAUAUCGGCAAUGGGCAGAAGAGGCCGAAAGGUUUUCCUAGUUGUUGACCUAACGCAGAAAAGGCCAAAGUCGAAGGUGGCCCGCACGUUAUCGACGCAGAAACUUUGAUUUAUGUUAUUAAAAAUGAGGGAAUAAAAAAGAAGAGAAAAACAAAGAAGAGAGAGAGUAGCCAAAAAGAAACAAAUGGGCAAAUGGGGCAUUGAAUGCAGAGUGAGAAAGAGAGACGAAAAAAGAGGAAAAGGAAAAGGAAGCAGAGGAAAGAAACAAGGAAGUAGUAAACAACACGGCAAAUAUGUUUGGAAUAAUGUGUGUGUGUGUGGCACAUGCUUAUCCACCGCUUCUAUGUUAGGACAACAGAUACAGCCAAAGACUUAAAUGCACAACGCUAUUCUCUCUCUUUUCUUUUUUCUUUUUUUUUUUAUUAUUAUUAUUAAAUAAACAUCAUCUUAUUUAUAUAUAAACAAUGAUUUUACCUCUUUAGACAUGUAUCCAUCUCAGCGUGUGUUGUUCCCACUCUUCUCCCCUAAUGGAAAUAAAUCUUCUUUCUAAAAUAGAAUGAAUAUUUCUGAGCAGUAAAAUAGCCAAAAUGCUUACCUUUUCUUCUUUGAGGUGGAACACAAGUACUUUUUCUCUCCCCUACUCGCAUCUUUGUCUACUAUACUUUUCAUACUUAAUGCUUUUCUCUCUUUUACUCUUUCAAAUCUACUUACUCACAUAAUUGCCUAACCAUUUCCCAUUUCCCAUUUCCUUCCUCUUUUAUCACUAAACUAUUUCCUCAUUUUCUUAACUUACUUU